RNAcentral lists this small RNA (104 nucleotides) under Pan troglodytes (chimpanzee). Its description in RNAcentral is "processed transcript". Lineage: Eukaryota; Metazoa; Chordata; Mammalia; Primates; Hominidae. The record is from RNAcentral.
CAGGAGGCUCUCUGAGAAGAGACAGCAAAGCUUCUUAGAUGGAUCGAAAGACCACGAGCUGGGAUACCAAGUUCUAUGAAAAGCCUGUUACAUUAGGCAACAAG